Molecule: unclassified non-coding RNA, 145 nt
Filed under: soil metagenome
Description: partial internal transcribed spacer 1
Source: RNAcentral
UAAUAAAAGUGUUUUAUGGCACUUUUCAAACAAAUCCAUAUCCACCUUGUGUGCAAUGUGUUUUUUUUUUAAAUAAACACUUUAUUUUUUAAUUGCCAAUUUAUCUGAAGAUCAGUAUUAUUAUGAAUUAACUUAAUUCAAAAUA